AUGAACGCUGGCGGCGUGCCUAAUACAUGCAAGUCGAGCGAACGGACGAGAAGCUUGCUUCUCUGAUGUUAGCGGCGGACGGGUGAGUAACACGUGGAUAACCUACCUAUAAGACUGGGGUAACUUCGGGAAACCGUAGCUAAUACCGGAUAAUAUUUUGAACCGCAUGGUUCAAAAGUGAAAGACGGUCUUGCUGUCACUUAUAGAUGGAUCCGCGCUGCAUUAGCUAGUUGGUAAGGUAACGGCUUACCAAGGCAACGAUGCAUAGCCGACCUGAGAGGGUGAUCGGCCACACUGGAACUGAGACACGGUCCAGACUCCUACGGGAGGCAGCAGUAGGGAAUCUUCCGCAAUGGGCGAAAGCCUGACGGAGCAACGACGCGUGAGUGAUGAAGGUCUUCGGAUCGUAAAACUCUGUUAUUAGGGAAGAACAUAUGUGUAAGUAACUGUGCACAUCUUGACGGUACCUAAUCAGAAAGCCACGGCUAACUACGUG
RNAcentral lists this ribosomal RNA (496 nucleotides) under uncultured bacterium. RNAcentral's name for it is "partial 16S ribosomal RNA". It matches the Rfam family "Bacterial small subunit ribosomal RNA", at positions 29 to 507 of the family's 1533-position model. The record is from RNAcentral.